RNAcentral lists this ribosomal RNA (468 nucleotides) under uncultured bacterium. Its description in RNAcentral is "partial 16S ribosomal RNA". It matches the Rfam family "Bacterial small subunit ribosomal RNA", at positions 28 to 507 of the family's 1533-position model. The record is from RNAcentral.
GACGAACGCUGGCGGCGUGCUUAACUCAUGCAAGUCGAACGGAAAGGCCCUGCUUUUGUGGGGUGCUCGAGUGGCGAACGGGUGAGUAACACGUGAGUAACCUGCCCUUGACUUUGGGAUAACUUCAGGAAACUGGGGCUAAUACCGGAUAGGAGCUCCUGCUGCAUGGUGGGGGUUGGAAAGUUUCGGCGGUUGGGGAUGGACUCGCGGCUUAUCAGCUUGUUGGUGGGGUAGUGGCUUACCACGGCUUUGACGGGUAGCCGGCCUGAGAGGGUGCCCGGCCACAUUGGGACUGAGGUACGGCCCAGACUCCUACGGGAGGCAGCAGUGGGGAAUAUUGCACAAUGGGCGGAAGCCUGAUGCAGCAACGCCGCGUGCGGGAUGACGGCCUUCGGGUUGUAAACCGCUUUCGCCUGUGACGAAGCGUGAGUGACGGUAAUGGGUAAAGAAGCACCGGCUAACUACGUG